RNAcentral lists this ribosomal RNA (411 nucleotides) under uncultured bacterium. Its description in RNAcentral is "bacterial SSU rRNA". It matches the Rfam family "Bacterial small subunit ribosomal RNA", at positions 505 to 916 of the family's 1533-position model. The record is from RNAcentral.
GUGUCAGCCGCCGCGGUAAUACGUAGGCAGCAAGCGUUGUUCGGAAUUAUUGGGCGUAAAGAGUGCGUAGGCGGUUUGCCAAGUCUGGUGUGAAAUCUCCUGGCUUAACUGGGAGGGUGCGCUAGAUACUGGCAGGCUUGAGUGUGGAAGAGGAAAGUGGAAUUCCUGGUGUAGCGGUGAAAUGCGUAGAUAUCAGGAGGAACGCCGGUGGUGUAGACGGCUUUCUGGGCCACAACUGACGCUGAGGCACGAAAGCGUGGGUAGCAAACAGGAUUAGAUACCCUGGUAGUCCACGCCCUAAACGAUGCGGACUUGGUGUGGGCAGUUCAGUCUGUCUGUGCCGGAGCUAACGCGUUAAGUCCGCCGCCUGGGGAGUACGGUUGCAAGGCUGAAACUCAAAGGAAUUGGCGG